RNAcentral lists this microRNA precursor (84 nucleotides) under Aotus nancymaae (Ma's night monkey). RNAcentral describes it as "miRNA (ENSANAG00000014465.1)". Lineage: Eukaryota; Metazoa; Chordata; Mammalia; Primates; Aotidae. The record is from RNAcentral.
GUAUUAGAUUGGUGCAAAAGUAAUUGUGGUUUUGCCAUUACUUUUAUUAGUAAAAUCUGCAAUCACUUUUGCACCAACCUAAUA